UUGAGCUUGUCACCGACCUCCACCUGUAUCGCAUAAUGGUAAACUUGGUGAGGCUUGAGUCACAUGACAAAGGGUAGAACAAAAGCGCAACAGCGAAACGUUGAAAGCAAACUUGCAAUGGAGAGAGCACAAUUGCUUCCCACAGAGCAAACUGGUGACUGCACACAAUGCAAUCAGUGAAGGCUGCCACGAAAGGUAGUAACCAAGCUGGGUAAGCUUCUCGCAAAUAUACCGUAGUGGCCAUCCUUCAGAACUAUACCGUUCUGCCUGCAUGAAUACAGGUGCCAUAGCUUCUUUUGGCUCAAGAUCGGCUAUGUGUCAAUGUGUUGAGAUGAAAUGUGGAAAGGCCACAUGAUAAAUGCACACAAGCAUGCAACUGUGCAUGCACAAGCAUGCACUACAUGCACACAGACAUGCACACUUAGAAUGUUUCCUGACAGAUUGUGCUUGCCACUCAGCUUACUUCACUCACAGCAAUAUACUCUGCAAAUUUUCUGCAGUUCUAAAUACCACACAAAGCAUGCUGAAUCUUGUGAAAUGCUAUGAACAAAUGUUCAAUGUCUUAAAAGGCCACCCAAUCAAAGAGAAGGAAAAAAAAGAGAGAGAAAAAAAAAGUACAGAAAGAACAGCAUUAAAAUCAGUAUAUGUUUUCAGCUAUAGUGGUUCAAACUCCUGAAGCAAUUUUGAGUCUGCUCACAUAGAAAUUUAUAUUAACAACAUACAGUGGAGGUCGAGCAUUCCAACUAAUGGUGUUUAUAUGCCAGACACGUUUCUCUGUGUAGCUAUAAAAAAACUUGAAUCAGAGCCAAGAGGAAAGAGGGGAGACCAUAAGGAAAGAUUGUGACGACCCUGACACACGCUGAAGUGCUUGUUUGUCACUAAAACCUGCUCGGCUCACAGACUCAACUCAGCAGCUGCUCUUGAGGUUUAUCGACCGACUUGUACACUGUCGACAAAAGUUGGCUAGGCUGUGGCACUCGAAAACAACUUGCAUUAUCGGCUGAACACGAGAGCCGUCUCUGAUAUGGACAUCAGUAAUUCAGGCCAGCAGACCUAGUGCAGUUGCCAAGAGGAGAGGCUUCGUUGAUGGUUCAAGGUGCGCAGCGACGAGCUUUCUUUGAGAUGCCACAGCUCUGCACAACGCCAUCUCAUGAAGUCAAUUAUAGGUUUUGUCAACAUCAGAGGGUGAGUCAACAUUCCAAAUGCUCUUCUUGCAUAGCUAAUCAAAAACAUUGCCAGCCUUUAAGCACCUAGACAUAAAUUGACAACUUCAACAGCCUAUUAUUAACAUUCACUCUAAUUUUGAGCGAUCACAGAAUAUUUACACAAUGUAAUGCUGGUAGCAAAAGUUACUGUAGGAAUAAGUUGCUCCUAAGCUUCAUUGGUGCAUCAUCAUACAUUGUGUGCAUGUUUAAGAGACUAGCGCUGCAUGGAUGUCAUUUUUCUAAUAGUAUGCAAGCAGGUUUGCAUGCUUUUGCCGCACAUGUGCUCAUUGCUCAGGAAAUGCAUUAGAUGUCUGUCCUAAGGAAUGUCCUGUAUAUUUAUCGGCUAGCUUGAUAUGUCCUUGCAUUCGACAUUGUUACAUAACACAUUGCUGCUAAAUUCUGUCACCCGUGGUACCAUCUGGUUGGAAUGAAGUACAACCACGCUUAAGGUUCGAUUAUUCAAGUCUGAUGAAAUGUUGAUGCAUAAGUACUUGCUAAAUGUGCAAUGGGCACAGCCUUUGUUUGUUUAAACGUUCAUUGUUGCCAGUGGUGAACAUAAUGUGAAUGUGUGCGUGCUUUGGUUUAAGCUGUGUGUGUUUAAUUCCCAUCCAAAAGCAUACAGUUCCACCAGCUACAUACAGGUCUUGAUGUUCAUUGCUAAACAAUGGACUAAUUUAAAACAGAAAACCAAGUUUCACGUAGGAAAAGUGACCUAGCUAUACUUUCAGGAAGUGUUUCAAGAAGCCAGUACUGCAUGAAUGUAUUCCAACGAAUACCAGAUCCAUGUUUACACAUGUUUACAGUGAAAAUGAGAUGAUGCACAUAAAGAAGAGGUGGUACAACCAAGUGCUGUUUGCGUGACCUCUUUUUUCUCUGUACUGUCUGAACCAACUAGCCCAUCUGAACUGCUGUAAACUAUCAUCUGAAUUACUGUAACUACGAAGUACCAUGCAAUUAAUCAAUUUACAACAUGAAAUACACUAACGUAAUACCAAGCGGUUUUGCAUUUUUAUUUUUUACAGCUAGCUACAAAGACUAUUUUUCUAGAGUGCCCAUGUUAUCAGUCUGCUGAACGCUCUGUGUACCUUCAAAAAUGUUACAGGGGGAAAAAAGUUAGUUUGGGAAAAUUUGGGAAUUCUUAAGCUAGUAAUCAUGUCUAAACAUGCCAAUAAAAUACUUGAUUGCAUUAUGACAUUGGAAGCUCCACCUUGCACCUCGCAUACACACAUGGCUUUGUUGAACUUGUAAUGCACCACUUUGGAACAACAUUUAAGUAUUCUGCGCUAGUUUAGACUUAGUUUUUGCCUGCAGUACUAUCAUUAGAGGUGCUUUGACCCCAGCCACAGUUUCUUUACAGUUCACUAAAUUUUUAAUAUUUUUUUGUUUUUGUUCGUGGUAUUUGAAAUACAUAAUUGCCAGUUGUGGUUUCCAGCAAGAUUGAAGAACUUGCGUGUAUUGUGCGUGAGAAACCCGGCGAAUUUUAGCCAGCAUCAGCCCCGAGCUUUUGCGUCUUAUUGAACCUGCCUUAGUCAUGCUGCCAUUACGCAUACACUUACACAGAGACUCUACUUUAUCAAUAGAUAUAGACUUCCCGCAAAGAACCUUCCUAUUCACUGAAGAAACCUGCAUCUAUGAUCCAAUAAGUCACAUUUCCUGCUAUGGUCAGGUCGGUGAAGAAAUUUCAUUAGUUAUUGAAGCAGGGCCCAAUGGCUACUACUUGUAUUGCCAGAUAAGAAAUUUCCUCUCUUGCCCAUACCCUACAUGCAUCCAAAAAUUUUGAACCAAGCUGUGGAUCAGUUUUCCUUCUGAUUGCAAACUUGCAGUGAUAAGAAAUGAGCACUGGGAAUAUGAAUGGCAACAAAUUUUGCAGUAAGAAUACUUUAGCUCUUACUCAAAAUUUGGAUGCUUUGUAGCAAUGCACCAAGAAUCUGUCAAAAACCUACAGGCCACUGCUUUCACAACCAAGGCUGUCGACAGGCUGUGUUGCGCAGCUACUGAUGCCUUAACCAUAUGCAACUACUUCCACACGCUGCCACUUUCAUCUUGUGAGGCAUCCAGUGUAGAAGAUAUUGUGGGCCUAUUUUAAAAGUUCUGACACUCGUGUUAACUGUUCUUCGCGUCUACCGACACUCCGCAUGCACUCCACUCCGUCUACCAGCAUGCACUCCGCUGCUCAGUUAUUUGUUCAUUUCCACACCAUGCCACCUUAGGCAGACACACGGUGAUGUGCAGUGCAUGUGUUUGUGUGUGUGUCAUUAUAUGACACUCCUACAACGUUGAAUCUCUUGCACCUGGCAUAAACUGCAUUACUUCAGCCUCUUCUCAAUCUUUUAGUUCCAGGGGUGCUACAGGAGCUCACUAUGCGGUUCGGAAAGCUCGCAUGGUUACAAAUGGAAUGGUCAGUACGCUUGUAACAGAGGUUGCACUUUUAUGCGAAUAUUUGUUAUGUACGAAUAAAAUCUUUUGUUUUGAAGUGUU
This is a long non-coding RNA of Dermacentor andersoni, 3683 nucleotides long. RefSeq lists it as uncharacterized. NCBI's taxonomy places the organism in Eukaryota, Metazoa, Arthropoda, Arachnida, Ixodida, Ixodidae. The record is from RefSeq and is a predicted model, not a curated record.